RNAcentral lists this ribosomal RNA (466 nucleotides) under Vreelandella stevensii. Its description in RNAcentral is "partial 16S ribosomal RNA". It matches the Rfam family "Bacterial small subunit ribosomal RNA", at positions 338 to 795 of the family's 1533-position model. The record is from RNAcentral. Lineage: Bacteria; Pseudomonadati; Pseudomonadota; Gammaproteobacteria; Oceanospirillales; Halomonadaceae.
CCUACGGGUGGCAGCAGUGGGGAAUAUUGGACAAUGGGGGGAACCCUGAUCCAGCCAUGCCGCGUGUGUGAAGAAGGCCCUCGGGUUGUAAAGCACUUUCAGUGAGGAAGAACGCCUGGUGGUUAAUACCCAUCAGGAAAGACAUCACUCACAGAAGAAGCACCGGCUAACUCCGUGCCAGCAGCCGCGGUAAUACGGAGGGUGCGAGCGUUAAUCGGAAUUACUGGGCGUAAAAGCGCGCGUAGGUGGCUUGAUAAGCCGGUUGUGAAAGGCCGGGGCUCAACCUGGGAACGGCAUCCGGAACUGUCAAGCUAGAGUGCAGGAGAGGAAGGUAGAAUUCCCGGUGUAGCGGUGAAAUGCGUAGAGAUCGGGAGGAAGACCAGUGGCGAAGGCGGCCUUCUGGACUGACACUGACACUGAGGUGCGAAAGCGUGGGUAGCAAACAGGAUUAGAUACCCGGGUAGUC